UAGGGAAUCUUGGACAAUGGGCGAAAGCCUGAUCCAGCCAUGCCGCGUGAGUGAUGAAGGCCUUAGGGUUGUAAAGCUCUUUCGCCAGGGAAGAUAAUGACUGUACCUGGAUAAGAAGCCCCGGCUAACUUCGUGCCAGCAGCCGCGGUAAUACGAAGGGGGCUAGCGUUGUUCGGAACUACUGGGCGUAAAGCGCACGUAGGCGGUUUUCCAAGUUGGAGGUGAAAUCCCCGGGCUUAACCCGGGAACUGCCUCCAAAACUGGGAGACUCGAGUCCGAGAGAGGUGAGUGGAAUUUCCAGUGUAGAGGUGAAAUUCGUAGAUAUUGGAAAGAACACCAGUGGCGAAGGCGGCUCACUGGCUCGGUACUGACGCUGAGGAGCGACAGCGUGGGGAGCAA
This 399-nucleotide ribosomal RNA is filed under the name uncultured bacterium. RNAcentral describes it as "bacterial SSU rRNA". It matches the Rfam family "Bacterial small subunit ribosomal RNA", at positions 355 to 771 of the family's 1533-position model. The record is from RNAcentral.